Molecule: ribosomal RNA, 255 nt
Filed under: uncultured bacterium
Lineage: Bacteria
Description: partial 16S ribosomal RNA
Rfam family: Bacterial small subunit ribosomal RNA
Source: RNAcentral
UCCACCUACGGGACGCAGCAGUGGGGAAUAUUGGGCAAUGGGCGCAAGCCUGACCCAGCAACGCCGCGUGAAGGAAGAAGGCUCUCGGGUUGUAAACUUCUUUUAUGAGGGACGAAAGAAAUGACGGUACCUCAUGAAUAAGCCACGGCUAACUACGUGCCAGCAGCCGCGGUAAUACGUAGGUGGCAAGCGUUAUCCGGAUUUACUGGGUGUAAAGGGCGUGUAGGCGGGACUGCAAGUCAGAUGGGAAAAUUA